Molecule: ribosomal RNA, 467 nt
Filed under: uncultured bacterium
Lineage: Bacteria
Description: partial 16S ribosomal RNA
Rfam family: Bacterial small subunit ribosomal RNA
Source: RNAcentral
GACGAACGCUGGCGGCGUGCUUAACACAUGCAAGUCGAACGGAAAGGCCCUGCUUUUGUGGGGUGCUCGAGUGGCGAACGGGUGAGUAACACGUGAGUAACCUGCCCUUGACUUUGGGAUAACUUCAGGAAACUGGGGCUAAUACCGGAUAGGAGCUCCUGCUGCAUGGUGGGGGUUGGAAAGUUUCGGCGGUUGGGGAUGGACUCGCGGCUUAUCAGCUUGUUGGUGGGGUAGUGGCUUACCAAGGCUUUGACGGGUAGCCGGCCUGAGAGGGUGACCGGCCACAUUGGGACUGAGAUACGGCCCAGACUCCUAUGGGAGGCAGCAGUGGGGAAUAUUGCACAAUGGGCGGAAGCCUGAUGCAGCAACGCCGCGUGCGGGAUGACGGCCUUCGGGUUGGAAACCGCUUUCGCCUGUGACGAAGCGUGAGUGACGGUAAUGGGGAAAGAAGCACCGGCGAACUACGU